GACGAACGCUGGCGGCGUGCUUAACACAUGCAAGUCGAACGGAAAGGCCCUUCGGGGUACUCGAGUGGCGAACGGGUGAGUAACACGUGGGUGAUCUGCCCUGCACUUUGGGAUAAGCCUGGGAAACUGGGUCUAAUACCGAAUAUGAUCAUCGGCUUCAUGGUCGGUGGUGGAAAGCUUUUGCGGUGUGGGAUGGGCCCGCGGCCUAUCAGCUUGUUGGUGGGGUAAUGGCCUACCAAGGCGACGACGGGUAGCCGUCCUGAGAGGGUGACCGGCCACACUGGGACUGAGAUACGGCCCAGACUCCUACGGGAGGCAGCAGUGGGGAAUAUUGCACAAUGGGCGCAAGCCUGAUGCAGCGACGCCGCGUGAGGGAUGACGGCCUUCGGGUUGUAAACCUCUUUCAGCACAGACGAAGCGCAAGUGACGGUAUGUGCAGAAGAAGGACCGGCCAACUACG
Molecule: ribosomal RNA, 460 nt
Filed under: uncultured bacterium
Lineage: Bacteria
Description: partial 16S ribosomal RNA
Rfam family: Bacterial small subunit ribosomal RNA
Source: RNAcentral